This 849-nucleotide ribosomal RNA is filed under the name Triticum aestivum (bread wheat). RNAcentral's name for it is "partial small subunit ribosomal RNA". Lineage: Eukaryota; Viridiplantae; Streptophyta; Magnoliopsida; Poales; Poaceae. The record is from RNAcentral.
AUGGGCUCGUCUUCCUCCGCCGUUUGCCUGCUAGCCUUGCUAGCAGUGUUUGCGUCUGCAGCUGGUUUCGCAGCUGCACAGCCGGUGGUCGUCACGGCCGCGUACAACAUCGGCAAUGACGAUUACAUGGCCUUCAUCGACCAGCUCCGUGCCACUCUGGCCGCUCACCCGAGCCCAGACAACGUCAACGGCCAUCCUGUUCUCCCCCUGCAACACGAGAAGCAGCCGCCGGCGAGGUGGCUGCACGUUCCCAUCACAGCGGGCGACAAGAAGGUGACGCUGGCGCUGAGGGACGACAACGUGUACCUCGUCGGAUUCAAGGCCCAGAGCGGCAGCUGGUACGAGUUCCGCUCCGCGGUGGCGCCAGGGAGGAAGCAGCCGCUGAUCCACGGCGCUACGUUCCUCGAAUGCGAGGACACCUACAGGGCGCUUCUAGGCGGCAAGAAGAGCAAAGAAGUCAAGCAGAAGGUAAGCAACCUUGAACUGGGGAAGACGGCGGCGGAAGCAGCCGUGAAGAAGUUGGCGGCAUAUGCUCAUGCCGCCGGCGGGCCGGACGACGCCACCAAGGUCGCCUUGGCACGCAUGGUCAUCACCGUCUGCGAGGCGGUCCGCCUGUCCUCGAUCUCCACUACCCUCAGCACUGGCUGGGGCCAGGCGGCGACGGUGAAGCUCGACCAUCUCCAACCUUUCUACAUGCAGAACUGGGGAGACCUAUCUACUGCCAUACUAGACCGGAGGAAACAUGGACCUACGUACCCAUGGCCCAAGAAGGUCUGCGAGGAGACGCACAUCGAGGACGCCGCCGGCGCGCUCGCGGUGGUGCAGCUUCUGCUUAAACGUAGUACUUAA